This 28-nucleotide non-coding RNA is filed under the name Florenciella parvula. The record is from RNAcentral. Lineage: Eukaryota; Dictyochophyceae; Florenciellales.
GACGGCCGAUGAGGGCCUCGUCGCUCCG